UACAGGGGGGGCAAGCGUUGUUCGGAAUUACUGGGCGUAAAGGGCCCGUAGGCGGCCGACUAAGUCCGACGUGAAAUCCCCAGGCUUAACCUGGGAACUGCGUCGGAUACUGGAUGGCUUGAAUUCGGGAGAGGGAUGCAGAAUUCCAGGUGUAGCGGUGAAAUGCGUAGAUAUCUGGAGGAAUACCGGUGGCGAAGGCGGCAUCCUGGACCGACAUUGACGCUGAACGGCGAAAGCUAGGGGAGCAAACGGG
This 253-nucleotide ribosomal RNA is filed under the name uncultured bacterium. RNAcentral describes it as "partial 16S ribosomal RNA". It matches the Rfam family "Bacterial small subunit ribosomal RNA", at positions 524 to 776 of the family's 1533-position model. The record is from RNAcentral.